GCCAAUCAGGACCGAUGCUCACAGUGACAACACUCACGCUGAGGAUAUUGUGGGUUAGAAGAGGAGCAUGGGUAAAAUAGAGGAGAGCAGGAGAAGUAAGAGAUGAGAUGAGAGGAGAGGGGAGAGGAGGAGGAGGAGGAGGAAGAGGAGAGGAGGAGGAGGAGGAGGAGGAGAGGAAUGAGAGGAGUACAAGGAAGCGGAAAACGGACGCACGUCACGAGCUGAUGGUGACAAACCGGUGCAAUCUCACAUUAACACCUCAACAAUCAAAGAUCUUUGAGUUGAUCAAAUUAUUGUGCACUCUAGCCUACAGUUUGUUUAGAGGAUUUACAGUUUGUUUAGAGGUUUACAGUCUGUUUAGAGGUUUACAGUUUGUUUAGAGGAUUUACAGUUUGUUUACAGUUUGUUUAGAGGUUUACAGUCUGUUUAGAGGGUUUACAGUUUGUUUACAGUUUGUUUCGAGGUUUACAGUCUGUUUAGAGGGUUUACAGUUUGUUUAGAGGGUUACAGUUUGUUUAGAGGUUUACAGUUUGACAGCGCCACUUUUUCUACAGACAAACAUUAGUCACAGGAUUGCAAAGGGAAGGUCAGAUGCAGAUAAGGGGUCUAUGAGAGGGGGUCUAUGAGAG
RNAcentral lists this long non-coding RNA (629 nucleotides) under Salmo salar (Atlantic salmon). RNAcentral describes it as "lncRNA (ENSSSAG00000092610.1)". Lineage: Eukaryota; Metazoa; Chordata; Actinopteri; Salmoniformes; Salmonidae. The record is from RNAcentral.